CACGAAAACAGUUGAGCUAAGUAUGUAUAAGUUUUUAGACUUUAUGUGUGUGACAUAACAUUAAUAAAUAUUUAUUUAGGGGUGAUAGGCUUAUCAAAUCUGUAGAUAUCUUGAUACCUUAGAAAAACACAAGUGUUUUAUAUAGCCUAGUAGUGAUAAGGCUCCUAGCUAAUAUAAAAAAUUUUUAAACAUUUUUUUAUGGUUUAAUCGCCAAAAUUUAAACUAAAGUACUAUUCUUUUAAAACUUAUUGUAUUGUUUAUAAGGUUAUUAACUAACAUUUUCCUUAAGAGUUUAUGUAACUAUAAGUAAAAAUAUAAUUAUUAAAAAUGAACUCGGCAACAUACCCUUCAACUGUUUAUCAAAAACAUAGCUGUAUGUAUUUAUAUGCAGUAGUUUCUGCUCAAUGAUAUAUUAAAUAGCCGCAGUACCCUGACUGUGCAAAGGUAGCGUAAUAAUUUGACUUAUAAUUAAAGUCUUGUAUGAAUGAAAUAUUGAGGGGUAACUUUAUCUUUGAUAUUUAUUGAAAUUAUUAAGUGAGUGCAAACACUCACAAUUAAUAGACAGACGAGAAGACCCUAGAAAUUUAAAUAAAUUGCUCUUACAAACUCUUUUUGUUGGGGCAACAAGGUAACAGAUAAUUUACCGUUAUUACAAGGAAUAUAUAUCGUAAGAUUAAAUUACUCUAGGGAUAACAGCGUAAUUUAAAAUAGUUUGCGACCUCGAUGUUGGACUAGGAAGCAAUUGUUUAAAA
RNAcentral lists this ribosomal RNA (752 nucleotides) under Ototrachia compressa. RNAcentral describes it as "partial 16S ribosomal RNA". The stretch from base 346 to 500 matches the Rfam family "Archaeal large subunit ribosomal RNA", at positions 1885 to 2088 of the family's 2987-position model. The record is from RNAcentral. Lineage: Eukaryota; Metazoa; Mollusca; Gastropoda; Stylommatophora; Camaenidae.